AUGGGACUCCUAGGUAUGAUGGGUGACUCCUUCGGCUGCUCAGCUACCGGUGAGCGGCUCGUCUCUGCUGCGAGGGAUGGAGACAUCCAGGAGGCUAGGGCCCUAUUGGAGCUUAACCCCCGGCUUGCACGAUACUCGACAUUCGGUAUCCGGAACACACCCCUCCAUUACUCGGCGGCAAAGGGCCACCACGAGAUUGUUUCCCUGCUAAUAGAAACUGGCGUUGAUAUCAACCUUAGGAACUGCAGAGGACAGACUGCUCUGAUGCAAGCUUGUCUAUAUGGUCAUUGGAAAGUUGUACAGAUCCUAGUUCUUUUUAAAGCUAAUAUUCACAAAAAAGAUUGUUUUAGUGGUGCAACAGCAAUUCAUUUUGCCGCCCUGAAAGGUCAUACCCGGUGCAUCCGGCUUAUUGCGGCUGAUUACGUGCCUAGUUUGCCGGAUUUUUGGAGCAUCAUGCGCGGAACAGCCACGGGUGAAACAAAUAAGGAAGCUUUUGAUGCAGCAAAUCUCCAGAGACUAGUUAAUGCAAAGUCAGAUGGAGGUGUCACCCCUCUUCACUUGGCAGCUCUUCACGGGCAUGCUGAGAGCUUGCAAUUGCUGUUAGACCUUGGAGCCUCUGUCUCUGAGGUCACAGUCAACGAUGGCUCAACUAUUGAUCUCAUAGGUUCAGGAAGCACGGCCCUUCACUAUGCAGCUUGUGGAGGAAGUGCUGUGUGCUGCCAACUUCUCAUUGCAGCAGGAGCACACAUGGGAGCUGAAAAUGCUAACGGGUUGAGUCCUUUGAUGGUGGCUCGUUCAUGGCACAAAACUGGUGCUGAAGGCGUCCUAAGCAAACAGCCAGAAGGGAGACUACUAAUUCUUCCGUCACCAUAUCUAUCUCUUCCACUGAUGAGCAUUGUCAAAAUCGCUCGGGAAUGCGGAUGGAGAAAAACCUCGGCAUCAUCUAGUAGUUGCCAUGAUCCAUGUGUGAUAUGUUUGGAGAUGGAAUGCACGGUAGCUGCAGAAGGUUGUGGCCAUGAGUUCUGCACCAAAUGUGCGCUCUAUCUGUGCUCCACCACCAGCAGCUCGACAUGUACCCGCGGGGUGCCGGGCUCCAUAUCCUGCCCUCUGUGCAGGCACACAAUAGUCUCCUUUGUGAAGCUCACAGGCACCACCUUCCUGAAGGAGCUUCCGUGGACCACCUCAUCGUUGGCUCUAUGUGCGGCAGGCGCAAGCACUGGCUCGUUGCGUCGCCAGUCGGACAUCCGUCGCCUACGCUCCUCCUCGGUUCACCUGGGAUGCUCCUCUUUUCGAUCCACCGGCUCUGGUAGAUUGUCGUCGAUCAAGUUGAAUUGCGGCAGGCUUGACGAGACGCUGCCCUGCCUCGUCAGCUGUAUCAGGCCGGAUGUGCGGCGAUCAUCUUCGUACAGGGAAAGAGUCGGUAGUAGAUAUUCAGAGUUUUCAUAA
RNAcentral lists this ribosomal RNA (1446 nucleotides) under Triticum aestivum (bread wheat). RNAcentral's name for it is "partial small subunit ribosomal RNA". Lineage: Eukaryota; Viridiplantae; Streptophyta; Magnoliopsida; Poales; Poaceae. The record is from RNAcentral.